Molecule: ribosomal RNA, 1465 nt
Filed under: Lactiplantibacillus plantarum
Lineage: Bacteria; Bacillati; Bacillota; Bacilli; Lactobacillales; Lactobacillaceae
Description: bacterial SSU rRNA
Rfam family: Bacterial small subunit ribosomal RNA
Source: RNAcentral
GGCGUGCCUAAUACAUGCAAGUCGAACGAACUCUGGUAUUGAUUGGUGCUUGCAUCAUGAUUUACAUUUGAGUGAGUGGCGAACUGGUGAGUAACACGUGGGAAACCUGCCCAGAAGCGGGGGAUAACACCUGGAAACAGAUGCUAAUACCGCAUAACAACUUGGACCGCAUGGUCCGAGUUUGAAAGAUGGCUUCGGCUAUCACUUUUGGAUGGUCCCGCGGCGUAUUAGCUAGAUGGUGGGGUAACGGCUCACCAUGGCAAUGAUACGUAGCCGACCUGAGAGGGUAAUCGGCCACAUUGGGACUGAGACACGGCCCAAACUCCUACGGGAGGCAGCAGUAGGGAAUCUUCCACAAUGGACGAAAGUCUGAUGGAGCAACGCCGCGUGAGUGAAGAAGGGUUUCGGCUCGUAAAACUCUGUUGUUAAAGAAGAACAUAUCUGAGAGUAACUGUUCAGGUAUUGACGGUAUUUAACCAGAAAGCCACGGCUAACUACGUGCCAGCAGCCGCGGUAAUACGUAGGUGGCAAGCGUUGUCCGGAUUUAUUGGGCGUAAAGCGAGCGCAGGCGGUUUUUUAAGUCUGAUGUGAAAGCCUUCGGCUCAACCGAAGAAGUGCAUCGGAAACUGGGAAACUUGAGUGCAGAAGAGGACAGUGGAACUCCAUGUGUAGCGGUGAAAUGCGUAGAUAUAUGGAAGAACACCAGUGGCGAAGGCGGCUGUCUGGUCUGUAACUGACGCUGAGGCUCGAAAGUAUGGGUAGCAAACAGGAUUAGAUACCCUGGUAGUCCAUACCGUAAACGAUGAAUGCUAAGUGUUGGAGGGUUUCCGCCCUUCAGUGCUGCAGCUAACGCAUUAAGCAUUCCGCCUGGGGAGUACGGCCGCAAGGCUGAAACUCAAAGGAAUUGACGGGGGCCCGCACAAGCGGUGGAGCAUGUGGUUUAAUUCGAAGCUACGCGAAGAACCUUACCAGGUCUUGACAUACUAUGCAAAUCUAAGAGAUUAGACGUUCCCUUCGGGGACAUGGAUACAGGUGGUGCAUGGUUGUCGUCAGCUCGUGUCGUGAGAUGUUGGGUUAAGUCCCGCAACGAGCGCAACCCUUAUUAUCAGUUGCCAGCAUUAAGUUGGGCACUCUGGUGAGACUGCCGGUGACAAACCGGAGGAAGGUGGGGAUGACGUCAAAUCAUCAUGCCCCUUAUGACCUGGGCUACACACGUGCUACAAUGGAUGGUACAACGAGUUGCGAACUCGCGAGAGUAAGCUAAUCUCUUAAAGCCAUUCUCAGUUCGGAUUGUAGGCUGCAACUCGCCUACAUGAAGUCGGAAUCGCUAGUAAUCGCGGAUCAGCAUGCCGCGGUGAAUACGUUCCCGGGCCUUGUACACACCGCCCGUCACACCAUGAGAGUUUGUAACACCCAAAGUCGGUGGGGUAACCUUUUAGGAACCAGCCGCCUAAGGUGGGACAGA